GAUCAUGGCUCAGGAUGAACGCUAGCGGCAGGCUUAACACAUGCAAGUCGAGGGGCAGCGGGGAGUAGCAAUACUCCGCCGGCGACCGGCGCACGGGUGCGUAACGCGUAUGCAACCUACCUUUAACAGGGGCAUAACGCUGAGAAAUUGGUGCUAAUUCCCCAUAACAUUCGAGAAGGCAUCUUCUUGGGUUAAAAAACUCCGGUGGUUAAAGAUGGGCAUGCGUUGUAUUAGCUAGUUGGUGAGGUAACGG
RNAcentral lists this ribosomal RNA (253 nucleotides) under uncultured bacterium. Its description in RNAcentral is "partial 16S ribosomal RNA". It matches the Rfam family "Bacterial small subunit ribosomal RNA", at positions 15 to 263 of the family's 1533-position model. The record is from RNAcentral.